AUUUUGCAUGGUUCUUAAUUGGGUCGCAGCGUCAUUAACUUGGCCGUUGCAUGUAUAUAUAAUACAUGUCUCCUAAUUAGAGUCUAAUUCUAAUUCAAUUAGAAUUAUACUCCUAAUUAUAAUCCAUAUAUGCCAAAUUAAAUCUAAAUUAUAUAUAAUCCUAAUUAGAUUAGGAUUUAACUCUAAUUUAGAUAACUACAAAUCUAAACCAAAUAUAACAUAACUACUAUGCUCGUGUUCGGCUUGUUUAAUAAACAUAUGAACACGAGCCGGCUUCAGCUCGCUGGCGGUUGGCUCAUCGACGAUCCUAAUGGAACGGAUCUCGGGACGUGACAACUAUAAUCUAUGAAAAUGAGUUUGCGUGAGGCUAGUUUGUAAAGAAUUUUUUUUGAUCUCUACAACUUACUACCAUUCCAUGGUAUAAUCGUCUUGCUUAAGAUUGUGAUGGAACAACG
RNAcentral lists this long non-coding RNA (455 nucleotides) under Ananas comosus (pineapple). RNAcentral describes it as "long non-coding RNA (ACOM_LNC010015)". Lineage: Eukaryota; Viridiplantae; Streptophyta; Magnoliopsida; Poales; Bromeliaceae. The record is from RNAcentral.